RNAcentral lists this long non-coding RNA (1908 nucleotides) under Pan troglodytes (chimpanzee). RNAcentral's name for it is "long non-coding RNA NONPTRT012872". Lineage: Eukaryota; Metazoa; Chordata; Mammalia; Primates; Hominidae. The record is from RNAcentral.
CGUCUAUCUCCCUAUCUGAAAUUCUUACAACUCAAAAAUAAAAGGACGACCCAAAUAAAAAUGGGCAAAGGGUGAGAACAGACAUUGCUCCAAACGAAACAUGCAAAUGGUCGACCUCUCGCAGAUCAAAACCACAACGCGAUUCUUCAUAUCCACUAGGAUGGAGAGAACUGAAAAACAGCAGGUGUUGAUGAGGAUGUGGAGAAACUGGAACCACCAUGUGCUGCUGGUGGGAAUGUAAAAUGCUGCAGCUGCUGUGGAAGUUUGGUGGUUCCUCAAAAAACUAAACUUAAAAAAUUAAACACAGAAUCACCAAAUGACCCAGAAACUCACUGUGGGCACACACACACCAACAGCCUGAGAAGACAGAUCUGAAGAGACACGUGUCCAGCAAUGCUCAGAGAGGCAUCACUCACGGCAGCUACACGUCUCCAGCAGUGCUCACAGCGGCGCCACUCACGGCAGCUACACGUGUCCAGCAGUGCUCAGAGAGGCAUCACUCCAGCGAUGCCCACAGUGGCUCCACUCACAACAAUGCUCACAGCAGCGUCACUCACGACACCUACACGUCUGCAGCAGUGCUCACAGCGGCGCCACUCACGGCAGCUACACGUGUCCAGCAAUGCUCAGAGAGGCAUCACUCACGGCAGCUACACGUCUCCAGCAGUGCUCACAGCGGCGCCACUCACGGCAGCUACACGUGUCCAGCAGUGCUCAGAGAGGCAUCACUCCAGCGAUGCCCACAGUGGCUCCACUCACAACAAUGCUCACAGCAGCGUCACUCACGACACCUACACGUCUGCAGCAGUGCUCACAGCGGCACCGCUCACGGCAGCUACACGUCUCCAGCAGUGCUCACAGCGGCGCCACUCACGGCAGCUACACGUGUCCAGCAAUGCUCAGAGAGGCAUCACUCACAGCAGCUACACGUCUCCAGCAGUGCUCACAGCAGCACCACUCACGGCAGCUACACGUGUCCAGCAGUGCUCAGAGAGGCAUCACUCCAGCGAUGCCCACAGUGGCUCCACUCACAACAAUGCUCACAGCAGCGUCACUCACGACACCUACACGUCUGCAGCAGUGCUCACAGCGGCGCCACUCACGGCAGCUACACGUGUCCAGCAAUGCUCAGAGAGGCAUCACUCCAGUGAUGCCCACAGUGGCUCCACUCACAACAAUGCUCACAGCAGCGUCACUCACGACACCUACACGUCUGCAGCAGUGCUCACAGCAGCGUCACUCACGACACCUACACGUCUCCAGCAGGGCUUUUGUUGCCUUCUCCCUCUCCCUAGUGGCUCACAUUCUCUGAGCACCAACAGCUGAUGUCCCCAUGAGCAGAUACUGGUCUUAUCCCCAGGGGCUCCUCCUCCAAACACUGUUUGAUGUUUGCUGUCCUGACACAGUUUUGUAUAGAUUCCUUAUCCAAAAGAAAAUAGGCUGGACGCAGUGGCUCAUGCCUGUAAUCCCAGCACUUUGGGAGGCUGAGGUGGGUGGAUCACAAGGUCAGGAGUUCGAGACCAGCCUGGCCAACAUGGUGAAACCCCGUGUCUACUAAAAAUACAAAACUUAGCUGAGGGUGGUGGCAGGCACCUGUAAUCCCGGCUACUCAGGAGGCUGAGGCAGGAGAAUUGCUUGAACCUGGGAGGCAGAGGUUGCAAUGAGCCGAGAUUGCGCCACUGCACUCCGCCUGGCAGCAAAACUCCGUCUCAAGAAAAAAAAAAGAAAAAAAGAAAAUAAAGGCUGGCGUGGUGGCUCACACUGUAAUCCAGCACUUUGGGAGGCUAAGGCGGGAGGAUCACUUUAGUCCAGGCAUUCCAGACUAACCUGGGCAAUAUAGCAAGACUCUGUCUCCACAAAAAAUACCAAAACUAUCCAGGUGUGGUGGUGCACACCUGUAGUCCCAGC